GUUGAAAAAACUUCAGAUAAUUUCAAACAGACUUUCAUCUACAUUUUCAGAUGGUUUUUUUCUAAAGAAUAUUUUGCUUUUGAUGUUAUCUUCAUAUAGAAAUAUCUGUAUACUUCAAAAACAUAAAGACCUAAAAAUAAACUGCAGAAAGCAUGGAAAGUUAUGGUGAAAAUGAGAACCCCACACUACCCUUUUCAUUUAAACAAGGAAAACUAAAGGUUAAAAAGUUAAAACAGCCAAC
RNAcentral lists this long non-coding RNA (241 nucleotides) under Mytilus galloprovincialis (Mediterranean mussel). The record is from RNAcentral. Lineage: Eukaryota; Metazoa; Mollusca; Bivalvia; Mytilida; Mytilidae.